Selaginella moellendorffii is the source of this 1021-nucleotide long non-coding RNA. RefSeq lists it as uncharacterized. The record is from RefSeq and is a predicted model, not a curated record. The transcript is spliced from 2 exons. Lineage: Eukaryota; Viridiplantae; Streptophyta; Lycopodiopsida; Selaginellales; Selaginellaceae.
GUGACAUAGGCAGGUCCAUCGGCCCAGCAGGAGAAGAGCUGCCGGAUGCCGUGCCUGUGAGAAAUCCAGCGACUUAAGUUCACGACGAGAGAACAGGAUUUCUACGCGGGGAAGAAGCUCACCAGUGCAUCGUGAUGUUAUACGGUCCAUUGUUGGUAACAUUGAUGAGAAGACGGUCACCUUGGUUUGCAAAGAUGACCGGACCGGGGUACCUUCCGUUCACAGCGACAAGAGACUUCGAGUUGCAAAGUCGCCUCACGUUUGUCGACCGGAUCUGAGCAGCAGCAGCAGCAGCAAGACAGUGUCACUACUGCUGGAGCAACAAACAAAAGCAGGCAAGCAAAGAGGUAUUCCCUUUCGCUAAAGAACAAGCUCCCUUACAGUGAAGUUGUAGACACGAGUUGUGGAAGUAGUAGAGUCGGCGGCGCUUGAAACACCGGCUGCAACGAGCAAGCCAAUUGCUACGACGAGAAUGCGGGUGUGGAUCUGCAUUGCCUCCUCCCUGCUGCUGCUACCAGAGACGAGACAAACUAUGGAGACAAUGGGGACGAUCAAACUUUAUGCGCCCUCCCUCGUGCACGGCACUUCCGGCUAUGAAGUUCAAUUUAUGUGCAUACAGGGGAGUGACAGUCCUGGUCCCAGUAACUCCAGCGGAUUUUACAUCUAGUUCCUCCUAAGGGUGGUGGUUCUUCUGUCAACGUUGUGGAGGCUUUCGCUACCUGCUGUGGCACGUUCCGGAGCGUUAUGUCAAUUGCUAGAUCGGUGCGUAUACACUUCCGUGGCAGCAGCGUCCAUUGCGAAUCUGGAGCAGCGAGAGAGCACACUGGAAAGACAACAAAGGUUUAUUUUUUUCCCUUCGAAUUUUACCAGGCAGUGUCACUCACGGGGCCUUGACUCUUCGCGUUUGUUAGUUGAGUGGCGUGGUCCUGUCUUCUAUCGACCAUGAAGAACACGGAAGAACAAAAAAGAAAAGUAGAAAAAUACAAGCCAAUAAAAACCUGGCCCAUGCAGGAUUUGAACC